AAGAAAGGCAUCUGUUAGUGUCCUCUGGCCGAUCCGACGACCACGUCUCGAUCUAGAACCCACCCACCCAUACAGGGUGGGGGAUGAGGUAGUGAUCAAAACACUGAAGAAAGGAAAAUCCCAAGGUGACUUUGCAUAUGGCCCACCCACUACCGUGGUCGCAGUAACCAGAACAGCCGUGCUGACUAAACAAUCUUCAACUUGGAUCCACGCCACCCGAGUGAAGCUUGUGAGAGCAAGAGAGGAGGCAGGAACGGAGGCAGACAGCCUUGGCCUUGAAGAAGGACAAGAGGUACUAACGGGGGCAGACAGCCCUGACCUCCAACAAGGCCCAGAGGUACUAACGGAGGCAGACGGCCCUGACCUCCAACAUGAUGAGCUCCUCACUCUUUUCUGGAAAAUGGCUGAAUGUACUGACUAAGAUUGCUUCAAUAAUCUUGUUGAUUUUACCAAUUAGCAGUAUGGGAGAAGUAGCCGCAACUAGCAAGGGCGGCGUCAUCACCUUUUGGUAUAAUUCAUCUAACCCUCACGUAGCUACCUACACCUUUUGUCUUUGUGAUAUAUUGAAAACAUGUUCAUAUUAUAACUACUGUUCCAACAA
Molecule: long non-coding RNA, 601 nt
Organism: Bufo gargarizans (Asiatic toad)
Lineage: Eukaryota; Metazoa; Chordata; Amphibia; Anura; Bufonidae
Exons: 2
Source: RefSeq, a predicted model, not a curated record